CAUGAGCUCCGGAGCCAGUCAAAUCUGGAGAUGAGGUCUAGCUUGGCCUCUCUGUAGCUAUGUGACUUUGAGUAGGUCCUUCAACUACUGUGAAAUUCAGCUUUCCCUUUGGAAAGGGGGUUAGUGAUACCUACCAUAUCACCAACCUACAGGAUGAGAAUCUUCAGGAGAUCAGAUCCAACUUCUAUGUGCAAAGCCAACAACCGGAGAGUGACAGAGCUAGGACUCAAAACCACAGUGUUUCCGCAUGGAGGAAGAGAAGAAAGGGGAGAAUGGAGGGGAAACAUCUUUUAUACCGGACUCCUUGUUCCACAACCCCCACCAGCAACCCCAACCAGUGUGGCAUUUGUCUUCUGCAGUAACAUCAGGUAAGUGGGUGGAGAUUUCCUCUGUCAUUGCUUUUGGUCUCUAGGAGUCUAAACUGGGAACCAGGCUGCAAUCUGUUUUUAUGAAAAGAAAUAAAUAGGCAGUGUUAAUGAUACAUGAGAAUAAUAUAGGGGUAAGCCCAGAAAACAGUGUCUGGAGUCUUUCGUGUGAAAUGUUCUUUGUAUGUACUUAAUGCCAAAUACAAAACCUAACAGGUGUCAUGAGGGAGAAUCAGCUCUACCAGAAAGUUCCUGAUUGCCCAACACGAAGUGGCCAUGGUUGGGACAGUCAUACUUCACCGUCACCCUCUGACAUCAAACACGGCCUGGACAGUGAGUUCUGAGCACUGACCACUCUAAGGUAAAAAUCAGCACAGCAUACUUUUUCCAGAGGUCAUGUGUGUGCUUUUCUGUUUAUUAAUUUAUUUUUAAGCAUGAUUUUAUGUCUUCUCUUUUCUAGGCCCUUCUCUUCACUAGGUCCUGAGAACACAGUAUCAAAGCAGAUUACUGCCUUCAGUAAAUUGAUGUUAUACUAGGGAGACAGACACGUAAGUAAUCACAACGAAGACCAGGUAAACUUGUCUUGAGAAAGAGAGGGGAGCAAAUAGCUGAUGGAUCCCAGCUGUAGAAGGCUUCUAAAGAAGAUGAUAUUUAAUCUAGCAAGGUUUCCUUAGGAGGACAUUGGUUGGAAGGUCUUAAGAACUGCUACGUUCAUCCCUGAAGCUGAAACCUUUAAAAAGGAUAUAGGGAGGCUCCUGUGUUGCAGAUGCCUGAAACGGAUCCUUGAGAAACAAGUGGUCUGCAGGUACCUGUUGUAAACCAGGGGCUAAUGAAUAACUAGAGCCAAAGUGUCCACUCUGCCCUAUCCUAAGCUCAAAGGAUCUCUAACAACAUCCAUACCUCCUGGGCCACGGGUCAAGCCCUUGACAGUCACUUUUCACUUAUCACCUAACUUCAUUGUUACAACCACUGUUUCACAAGUGAAGGAACUGAGGCUCAUAGAAAUGAAGGCUUUAUGAAAAAGCCUCAAAGCUAAAGAGAAGAGUCCAGGAUUUAGUUUUCAAGUCCAGUGCUCUUGGCUCAAUACAGAGUCCUUCCUCCUCCCACUUAAUGCUGACAUUGCUCAUAGACCUGCUGUUAUUCUGAGUUCUGAAAUAAAUGUACCGGAGAACUUGGAGCAACACUUGCUGCUAUGGGACAAAAAGAAGACAGAAUUUUGUGCCUGGAGUGACUCAGGUUCAACUUCC
Long non-coding RNA from Callithrix jacchus (white-tufted-ear marmoset), 1612 nucleotides. The record is from Ensembl. NCBI's taxonomy places the organism in Eukaryota, Metazoa, Chordata, Mammalia, Primates, Cebidae.